CGGUGGAGCAUGUGGUUUAAUUCGACGCAACGCGAAGAACCUUACCGAGGGCUUGACAUCCCCUGACCGCGUAUGAAAGUACGUUUUCACCCUCGGGUGACAGGGAGACAGGGUGGUGCAUGGUUGUCGUCAGCUCGUGUCGUGAGAUGUUGGGUUAAGUCCCGCAACGAGCGCAACCCUUAUCUUUAGUUGCCAUCAGGUAAUGCUGGGCACUCUAGAGAGACUGCCGGUGACAAACCGGAGGAAGGUGGGGAUGACGUCAAAUCAUCAUGCCCCUUAUGUCCUGGGCUACACACGUACUACAAUGGCCGGUACAAAGGGCGGCGAAGGGGUGACCCGGAGCAAAUCCCAACAAAACCGGUCUCAGUUCGGAUUGUAGUCUGCAACUCGACUACAUGAAGUCGGAAUCGCUAGUAAUCGCAGGUCAGCAUACUGCGGUGAAUACGUUCCCGGGCCUU
RNAcentral lists this ribosomal RNA (458 nucleotides) under uncultured Thermincola sp. RNAcentral describes it as "bacterial SSU rRNA". It matches the Rfam family "Bacterial small subunit ribosomal RNA", at positions 930 to 1382 of the family's 1533-position model. The record is from RNAcentral. Lineage: Bacteria; Bacillati; Bacillota; Clostridia; Eubacteriales; Thermincolaceae.